GAUGAACGCUGGCGUCGUGCCUAAUACAUGCAAGUCGAGCGAACAGACGAGGAGCUUGCUCCUCUGACGUUAGCGGCGGACGGGUGAAUAACACGUGGAUAACCUACCUAUAAGACUGGGAUAACUUCGGGAAACCGGAGCUAAUACCGGAUAAUAUAUUGAACCGCAUGGUUCAAUAGUGAAAGACGGUUUUGCUGUCACUUAUAGAUGGAUCCGCGCCGCAUUAGCUAGUUGGUAAGGUAACGGCUUACCAAGGCAACGAUGCGUAGCCGACCUGAGAGGGUGAUCGGCCACACUGGAACUGAGACACGGUCCAGACUCCUACGGGAGGCAGCAGUAGGGAAUCUUCCGCAAUGGGCGAAAGCCUGACGGAGCAACGCCGCGUGAGUGAUGAAGGUCUUCGGAUCGUAAAACUCUGUUAUUAGGGAAGAACAAAUGUGUAAGUAACUAUGCACGUCUUGACGGUACCUAAUCAGAAAGCCACGGCUAACUACGU
This 496-nucleotide ribosomal RNA is filed under the name uncultured bacterium. RNAcentral's name for it is "partial 16S ribosomal RNA". It matches the Rfam family "Bacterial small subunit ribosomal RNA", at positions 28 to 506 of the family's 1533-position model. The record is from RNAcentral.